Molecule: long non-coding RNA, 5272 nt
Organism: Oreochromis niloticus (Nile tilapia)
Lineage: Eukaryota; Metazoa; Chordata; Actinopteri; Cichliformes; Cichlidae
Exons: 2
Source: RefSeq, a predicted model, not a curated record
GUAAACGGACCAAACUUCAGUCAGGAGAACAACUGAGAUAAUCCAUCCACAAUACCAGUGAGCCUGUGAGCAGACAGAGGUGGAAUUUCACUGGGAAUCUGCUGCUAAGUGACUGGAAUGAUAAGUGGCCGGUUUGAUGUGGAAGCUUCUCGCCGUGUUUCUGGACGUCAGUCUGACGGCGUUCCCACAGAGCUGCAGCCGGUCAGCUGACCCAGCGAGAGGAGUUUCUCUCAGUCUGUGCCGUCAGUUUUCCAACGAGACAGGAAAUCAUCUUUAGGACAUUUCAAUGAUGUGAGAGGAAGUCUGCACUUCAGCUCGACGGAAGAGAAAAUUAGUUGGCGACUGGAUGUGGAGCCCAGCAGGUUGCUCUUACUGGGACACUGUCCAGUGACAGCCUCGGCCAGUUCUCCUCUUGUUAUCCAAGAUGCUCCUUUCAGAGGUCUCCCCAGUGGAUCAUCUGCCUUCCUCCUAUCCUCCUCUGUCACACCAUGUCCUCCUCCACUACAUCCAUCCACCCCCUCUGAGCUCGUCGUUCUCCUCCUGCCUGGCAGCUCCAUCAUAUUCACCCUCCCUCCUCUGCACAUGUGCAAACCAUCUGAGCCUCUCGGACUCUGAGCUGUCCAUCUGACGGGCUCAUUCCUGGUCCUUUCCAUGCUGCUCACUCCCAAUAAACAUCUGAACACCUUCAUCUCGGCCUCCACCGUCUCCAUCUCUAUCCAUCCCUGACACUCGUCUCCAUCGUCACCCUCCCUGCACUUUGUCCUUCACCUCUCCUGCACUGUCCAAACUUCUGCUGUCUCAUUUCUUACAUUAAUGGUUCAAGUGACAGUAUGACAACUCAGGAUACAGCGACGUUGUAAACAUUAUAACUGCCAGAAGUUUCCUGAUAAUAUCACUCCUCUUCCUCCGUCAGCCUACAUCGACCUACGAGCUGCCAUGUGCAUGACCGACGCGCAUUUUGCUGCAGUAUUUUCAGUCCCAGCUGCACGUUCCUCUCUGCAUGGAGGACAUAAUAUGCCAUUUUUCUGAAGAGUUGCUUUCUCUCACAGACGAUGCUGAGCUGACAGUUUUUCCUUAAUGGGAGACAGAUGCAGUGUGGGUAACCGUGACCUCAUAUCAGAGCAGUUAUAUUAUGUGAUGGUAAUUUGAUAAUCGUCCCGAGCGGUGUCCUGGAGUUUCAGAGCGAUCUGUGGAGCGCUGGCUUGUUUUUCUGUCCUCUGCCUGCAGGCAAACCUGUGCAGCCUGUUCUUAUUAUCACUGCAGCUGCAGCUCAGAGUGCAGGCCGGCCUCGCUGCGUCCCGACUGUUAAACAGCUUCCUGCUGAGGAGGGCAACACGUAGGAGCAGGAAAAGGAACCGAAUUCAGGCGAAUUCCAUCGAUUUAUUUAUUAUUACUUUUGUGAGUUACAUGAUAAUAAUCCACCCUAACACACACGCAAUCCUGGACUUUAAAACUGGGAAGUAAUGACCAUGGAUCAGCCCCGCCCAGUCGGUCUGAGCUGGGUUUGAGGUGGCCGGUGGGACUUUGGAGCCAUAAAGUUCUUUUUAUCAGAGCAGCCCGGCUCAUCGGUCAGAUCUCAGAGUGUCAAAAACACACACGAUGCAAUACUUAACACCAGAAGCUGCUUCUACGUGUGGAGAUGAAGGAAAAGGUGGAGAAAAAAUGUUAAAAAAGACGUCACAGUUCGCAAAACGUGUGUGUGAAAAGGCGGCUGUGGAGAGCUGACCGUGUAAUGCUGCAGAUGAUUGAUGCUAACUGUAGUCAGCACAGCUUCAUUUCCCACUCACAGCAUAAAGGAAAAGUACUGCACACACACACACACACACACACACACACACAGUAUGCUCCAAACAUGCAUUAGCGAUGUAACGGUUGAAGCUUCUGACUAAAAGCCAGGUGCAGCAGCCCGAUGGAGGGUCUGGAGGCAGACGUGAGCAUAUUUGGACGAGCCGGUGGAGCAUCGAGUUGUUUUUAUGUCAUGGUGAAAAUGGUAAAACAAGCCUCUGAAAGAGAGCACGAGUGUCUGCAGACCCCAGGCCAGCAGUCACGUGUCUCUAAAAACAUGUGUGCAGUUUUUAACGUUCCUGUCUGCUUUGUGUCAAAGAACUCAAACUCUGACACAAAGGGAUUGGUGUCAGUGUUGACCACAGCUGGUCAUGUUACAUAUUAAUGCAAAACUAAGAGCAAUCAUUUUAUUCUAUUAAGAUUAGGUGUACUGAACCAAAUUACUAGUAAUUCACUAAGGUAACGGCUAAAGUGCAGUGACUCCAACUGUGGCGAGACGUUCUCUCACCAAACUGGUGCUCAGAUGUUUUUGGGUUUUUUUAAAUCCACCCAGGAGAACCAUCCAUGAUUAAUGUACUAGUUCUAUCGCUCUUAUUUUGAAGGUUUGGACCUUCCUGUGUUGUGUUUCUCUGCCAACUCACUCACAGCUGCUUCCAGAUAAUGUUUUCAUUUUUUUUGUUCUUUUACAUCUGGAAAGCAGCUUUUUUAUUUUGAUGUUGUACCAAACGGAGAAAGUUUCCAGGACGUCAGCUGGUCAGAGCUCUGAAUCUGUAAUAAACGGAGAAAUCUCUGUGCGAUGUGCCUCUGAUCCUCUGAGCUGCUGUUGGCUGGUGCCUUAAUGAAAACACUGAGAUGAAUGUGAGUGUUUUGGCCAACACACAAUCUGAAAGGUGAAAGAUUUUGUCAUGCCAGACUGAAUCUGACACCUGAGACGCCUGAGCCCACAUCAUCAGCACGUUUAUCUACAGAUGGCUGUUGUGCAACCUGUGUGAGUGCAGUUCACUUCAGAUGGAAGAGAUCUGAGUUUAGAUCGGGAGCGCUCUGUCAUGUUUAACAGGGUCACGGAUCCACAGAAAACUAAAUCUAAAAACUGGAAAACUUUAGAGACGCUUUGAACUGGAUGCUUAUUCAUGUUUACUUCCUGUUUUGGUUUGACCUUCAUGUCUUCUAAAAUCCACAGUCUAAAAGUCAAAGUCUUAAAUCUGAAUCCCUGUUAAUAUUUGUUUCUGUAACAGCCAACAUGUCCGCCUUUUAUAUGUUUUUAAUCAGCUCAUGGCGAUAAAGCAUGAAUCAGCUUUUAUGACUGCGCUCCGGCGAAUCAGAUCGAAGCAGAAAGUCUCAAACUCUGCUUUUACUUUGGCAAUCCCCCCCCCCAACAUCAUGUUACCCAACAGCCUGCAUGGAGCCAAAUCCAUCAUCCUUUAACUCAGUUUCCCAGACGUUUCUCUUCGGCUCGUGUGCAGACUUGAUGCUGUGGGAGCUGUGCUGAUUGGACCGUGCUGCUCAGGUUUGUUAAGUUUAUUAAGGUCAUAAGUUGAAUGAGCGAAGGCGAAGGCGUGCCUGUGUCCUUUUCCAUCAGGUCUCUGUUUUAUUGCUGCUGAUGAUCAAUAAAACGUCCACAAGCCAACAUCUAACCCGUCAGUCUGUUUACACAUGCCUGAAUUCCCAUGGUUCCUGCUCCCGAGGCUGAUUUCGACUAAUGAUUAUAGUAAUAAUAACAUUUAUAAAAAAAGUGUUGAAGCAACGACUACAGAAGAUUCUCAGCUUUCAGUUCUGUGCCGAUGACACUGUGGUUUAUGGUCACAGUUCAUUACGCACACAGCUCACUGUGUCCUCCUGAGUCAACAGGGUCAGCUGAAGGGUUAGCGCUCAGCUGGAUCAGUGGGAUGAAAGCUUCACUCUGAUUGGUUGUUAUGUCGUUAGACGACGGCACUUCCUCUUAAAGCACUUAUUUGUUUAAUUGUUACGGGUCAGGUGAAGGACGGUCAGCAGGUAACACUGAGCUGCUUCCACAUGUUUUAAACUUUGUGGACUUUUUAAACCAGCUCCAAUCUUAGCCUUGAAAAACAAGCUAAAUAUCGAGGUCACGGCCGGGGACCAAAAUGUACACAUUAACAGGUAGUAGCAGGAGUGGGUUAGCAGCUGGUAACCAUUACAUGGUCUGGUUAUCUGGUUAACCACCAACUGCUUCAGUUCAUCCAGACGAGCACCAAUCAGCUAACUGAAGGCUCCAAGUCAGGCUAAUGACAGAAAUCAUUUUAUUUAAACGUCCGCAGGUAACAGCAAACACCUUUUAAACCACAGCAUGACUCUCAGUCAAACUAGCACACGAUCAAACCUCCUGAGAGCAAAACAACCAAUCACAGCAGACCCUCCUCUGCCAGCAACAGCCAGUUAAAAGCAUGAAUGUAGGCUAAUGUCCUCAAACUGAACAGCUCGGAAUCAGAAAUAAUCGCCAUCAAAAUCCAUCACAGGGUUCCUUUAUCCUUCUCUCACGCCCAUCUGCAGAAACACUCUUCCUGUCAUGACCCUGUGCCCUCUCGGCUGACUCUGUAUGGCUACAAGUGUUUUUGUUGUGUUGCGUCUCUCUCUCUCCCCUCCCGCGCACUGCGCUCUACCGGGGCGGAGUCAUGACGGCUCCAGCCCCUGGCUCGGACACCUGCAAGCAAUCAUAUCAUCACCACGCUCGCUUCUUAAGGCGGCUGCUGAGAGUGCUUCUUCGCUGGAUUAUUGUGUAACACUCGUCAGUGUCAUUGCAAGUCUGAGCUUUUUCCCGAGUUUCCUUCGUGCCGCAACUCACCUGUUCGUCCUCCCUGUGCCAGAUUUCUCGCCAGCCUGAGGACCGCCGUGUGGUGAGCUAAAAGCCAGAGUCCGAGCUAACCUGAGCUUCAGUGGAGGAUUGUGUACAUAGCCCGUUCCCUUCCUGUGCCUGUGUUCCCCGGAGACCCUCUUCCUGUGCCCCCUCACCUGUAUAUAUCCGCACCUGGUGUCUGUGUGUAAUAAAUUGUGAACUUUAGUGACGGUCUGCCUCCGAGUCUCCCCUGAGCCUGACACUUCCACCCUUAACCAGAGCAGAUGCCUCCUCACUGGGAGGCAACCAGCUCGAGAUCCUUUGCUGGUGGAGCACAAAGUGUUGAGGUUUUCUCUGAUGUUUCUCACCCUGACCACUCGUUACUGAGGUCCUCAAAUACUGUUCCAACAGCCAAGGCCGCAGGUCACCUCUUGGCCUUGCAAGACGGACGUUAGGGUUAAAAACACUCACUGGUCUGAGCCUGAGAACCAGAACCCACCCAACCUGACCUGACGCUGAGGACAACAGUCACAAUCCCAUCAGACGUGCUGCAGUAUCAGUGGAAAUUAAUCUGCAGAUCUGCCUGCACAGAGCAGAUGAGGAGGACAGGAAAUCAGACACAUAAUGCAUUUUCAAAAUAAAAGAACCUUGUGUUUGAAGAUGUGCAAAGGAUGGAACACAAGUAUGAUGAGAAAG